UUUGUUUUAAAUUCUUGAAAUUUUUGUUGCUUUGUUUAUCAUCUAUUUUACCAGUUUUAGAUGCUUUCAUAUAAUCAAUUUUUGUUGCUUUCCUUGUCCUCUGCUAAAAAUUGAAUCGUUUUGCUUCUCAAUUACUGCCCAAAAGUUCAAUACUUUGUAUCUUUUUUUUUAGAAACUAGAUUCUUGAUUAUGAGUUUCAAGAUAUGAAAUUGACGAGUCAAAGAAAGGAUAAUUCUUCUUUUCCCCUUUUCUCGCUGCAAAAUGGCACACAAAUUCCCUUUCUCGCGCAGUAUUUUCUUCCUUCCGCCGCCGUACCCAAGGCAUCAGCCACAUGCAAACCUGAAAAUUGGUCUGGUUCAAGUUGAAAUUGGCUCAUAGAAAACAACAUAAGUUUCAUAUUCCUCAUACUAUUUGUCUUCUUUAUCUACUAAUAAUUUUAAACUGCCGUCAUGCUUUUUCUUUUUUGUUCAUUUUGUAUUGGCUUGUUAUCUUCCUUCCUCAUUUUUUUUAUGUCGUCAAGAUUUUUACUAGGGAGAUUUUAAGUUUAAUCAUGUAAAAAUAGUGUAAUUUUUGGACCAAGGGGGUCAACUCCAUGGCUUACCUUGCUCCGUCCCUGUUUGAGUUGGUUGUGAUUAGAAUAAAGCUGAAAAUUAGAGAUAUUUAGCUUUAGUUGGUGCAGUUAGGUAGAAUUGCUUUGCUAAAUCCCUUUGACUCUACGACUUUUUUCUAUUUUUCUAUCUGUUAUUUUUGAUUAUUGAUGUUUUGGUUUGGCUGUAUUUGUAAAUGAAUAUUAAUAAUUGUGAAGUAUUAGAUGAUGAAGAUAUGGCUGUAGAGUUCAUUGCAGGCAAAGCGUGUCAUGUAGACUCAUGUAGUGCCUGGUGUUGUUUAAACCCACACCGAGGUGGCUUAUGUUGGGAAAACUGAGGAACGGUACAGAGCAUUGUGUCCGGACAUCCCUCGUACUUGCCAUGCAUAUCCACCAUCGAGUGAGGCACUCAAAGAAGUAGCCAUGGCCACUUGUGACAAGCUCAUUCACAUAUAGAUUGGCAAGGACAAAAGCUAGUGGAGUAAUUGAUGCAGAUACUUCUUGUAUAAAAAUGCUUUAGUGAUUUAGGUUCUCUCAACUAUGCCAGAAUGCUGGCGGGAUCCAGAGUUGGUGCUUUCUCCAUGGAAUGUGCACUAUCACUCUGGCUUUCUGAAGCAUCUAAUGCUUAGAUCAGACAGGUAUUUAGAUCUAAUUUCUGUCCAUUUUGAAUAAAGAACUGAAGUCUCUUGCUUAUUGUUAUGCUAAUGAUCAGUUUCUAUUUUUUUAGGGGUGGGUGGGGUGGGGUAUGGCAUUGGAGUGGCUGGAAAGAUAGUUGAGUAGUCAAGUAUAUAGUUUACCUGGUGAACAUCAUUAAAAGGGAUAUGGAAAGUGCUAUUAGGGAAAAUAUGAAACUCCUUCAGAUUCCCUAGGUACUUUGAAUGUGAACUAGGAGCAAGAUAGAGAGUGCCUUGACAUGAGUGGUUUUGGAUUGGUGUGCUAGAUACAAGGGCAGAUGUUUGAAGCCACACAUCUAUCUCUUUCAUGUCAUGCAAGACUGAACCUGCAAUUGUAGUAUGAGAUAAACCAGGCCUGGCGUAGUUAUGUUGUUGAAGCUCACUGAUAUUUCUCACGAGUGGUAAUCCAUUAAUUGAGCAGUGAGUAUCUUCAACUGUGGCGAACCACAAAACAACAACUACUAUCAUGUCAUCCACUCCUCUAAGAAAUCUUCAAGUAUGUUUAUUUUAUUCUCUUGUGCAACUGCUACACAAUUUUGAGUAUUUUAUGGCGGGAUCAGUAAUGUAAAGCCUAAGAUCACAUGACUGUUUAGUCUAUCAACAUUGAUAUUUCCAGUUAAGUGCUUCCUGUCAUUGUUUCUUAUAGUUUUCAUGUUCUGGUUAACAGCCUCUAUGGCAGAGAUCAAAGAAAUUAAGAACCAAAAGCACAAAGAGAUGACAUAAUUUUUGCUAUCGCUGUUGAUUGUAGACAUCCAGUGAGUCCUCAUUUUGGUUCUGCAGCUAUUGACAAUUAUGUAUUUUUGAAGCAUCAUGGUUGGAAGAGUAGUGGUAACUGUUCCCAUUAAUGAAAAUGCUAACUGUUCCCAUCAAUGAGUAAAUUCUUCAGGACAGGCUUCAUAAAUACAGAUGCUCACCCAAAGAAAAGAUUGAUUAAUGAUAGAGGGUGACCAUUUAUGUUCUGAUGCUGCCACUUUCCUUGGAGCAGAUAAUGUUUGCGCAAGAUUAGAAGUACUUCAGGUUGGUCUACAAAUGCAGUGGCUGCUAGUGACCUGAUUAGUAGUUAUUCACACUUCUAGAAGAAAAACGCGCUACAGUCAAAUAAUGCAUGGCAAGUGAAACUUAAAACUAACUAAACUUAUGUAGCUAAAGCUGAUUUUAUUCUUUCAAAGAAAUUCACCUGUAGCUGCUGAUGGCAUAAGACGCACGAGAGACGUUCUUGUCUGUUGCUAUCCAAGAUAUUUCAAUUGUUGGCUUUUAGUAUCCUGUUGGCUUCUUUCCUGAGCCUGGUGCAAAACAAUCCUAGAUUGAAUUUUCAAGAUACACCAGGGAGUGGUGGAUCUAACAUUCCUUCACUUGAUGCAAGUAAUGCACAAGCUAUAAGAGGAAAAAUUCUUUCAAAUUCAUCCGGCUCAGCUCAUGCUUCAGUUCAUGAAAAGGAACAAUGUGGGGAUCAAAUUUGAAUGGUGGACGCCACAACUAAACUUGAUCUAGAUUGAAGUGAAUGAUGAAGAAAUUUUGAAAUAUUUUGGUAUACAUUUAUAUACAUUUGGUUUUGUGUGAAACUUGGUACAAAUUUUUAUUAUGUUUUCUAAUUAGUAUGUAAAAGAUAUGUUUCUUUGAAGCUUCAUUGCAAAUUUAUGCACUUUAAUUAUUUAUUAGCUAA
Capsicum annuum is the source of this 2923-nucleotide long non-coding RNA. RefSeq lists it as uncharacterized. NCBI's taxonomy places the organism in Eukaryota, Viridiplantae, Streptophyta, Magnoliopsida, Solanales, Solanaceae. The record is from RefSeq and is a predicted model, not a curated record. The transcript has 5 exons.